RNAcentral lists this transfer RNA (71 nucleotides) under Camelus dromedarius (Arabian camel). It matches the Rfam family "tRNA". From Rfam's summary of the family: Transfer RNA (tRNA) molecules are approximately 80 nucleotides in length. Their secondary structure includes four short double-helical elements and three loops (D, anti-codon, and T loops). RNAcentral also lists the same sequence under 1 other name. Lineage: Eukaryota; Metazoa; Chordata; Mammalia; Artiodactyla; Camelidae. The record is from Rfam by way of RNAcentral.
GGGUAGAUAGCUCAGUGGUGGUGCACAUGCUUAGCAUGCACGAGGUCCGGGUUCAAUCCCCAGUUGCUCCA